This is a long non-coding RNA of Melospiza melodia melodia, 374 nucleotides long. RefSeq lists it as uncharacterized. Lineage: Eukaryota; Metazoa; Chordata; Aves; Passeriformes; Passerellidae. The transcript is spliced from 2 exons. The record is from RefSeq and is a predicted model, not a curated record.
GAGCUGCAGGCAGCCACGCUUCCAGCCUCCCCAGCAGCAGCUGAACUGAUCAGCAGCCUCCACCCUGAAGAGCAGCUUCCUUCACUCAUGAACCUCAUCAUUUGCUCCCUGGCAUCGUGGGUUGUGGCAGAGUGCUCCAGUCCUGCUGCUAGACCUGUCUGCAAGCUGUGGCAUCUCGGGUACAGGAGUGUGAAGAACGACUGGAGCGUUAAAUAAGGACGUGGAUAAGUGUGGCAAUUCCCUGCUGACUGCCAGAACAGCCUGCAGAGCAGAGACUGAGGCCGGCCUCUCUUCCCCUCCAAGUUUUGCAGUGCCAUCUUUUGUCAAAGAUGAAAAAGAAACAAAAUGUGAAUAAAAACACAACUUCCAGCAAA